UAAACGACUCUCGGCAACGGAUAUCUCGGCUCUCGCAUCGAUGAAGAACGUAGCGAAAUGCGAUACUUGGUGUGAAUUGCAGAAUCCCGUGAACCAUCGAGUCUUUGAACGCAAGUUGCGCCCGAAGCCUUCAGGCUUAGGGCACGUCUGCCUGGGCGUCACGC
This 164-nucleotide ribosomal RNA is filed under the name Sabulina rossii. RNAcentral describes it as "5.8S ribosomal RNA". It matches the Rfam family "5.8S ribosomal RNA". From Rfam's summary of the family: 5.8S ribosomal RNA (5.8S rRNA) is a component of the large subunit of the eukaryotic ribosome. It is transcribed by RNA polymerase I as part of the 45S precursor that also contains 18S and 28S rRNA. Functionally, it is thought that 5.8S rRNA may be involved in ribosome translocation. RNAcentral also lists the same sequence under 4 other names. Lineage: Eukaryota; Viridiplantae; Streptophyta; Magnoliopsida; Caryophyllales; Caryophyllaceae. The record is from RNAcentral.